GGUUGACCUCGAAUCAGGUAGGGAUACCCGCUGAACUUAA
This 40-nucleotide ribosomal RNA is filed under the name Tuber pseudoexcavatum. RNAcentral describes it as "partial 28S ribosomal RNA". The record is from RNAcentral. Lineage: Eukaryota; Fungi; Ascomycota; Pezizomycetes; Pezizales; Tuberaceae.